Molecule: transfer RNA, 76 nt
Filed under: Pseudomonadota bacterium
Lineage: Bacteria; Pseudomonadati; Pseudomonadota
Also listed under: 3 other names
Description: tRNA-Ala
Rfam family: tRNA
About the family: Transfer RNA (tRNA) molecules are approximately 80 nucleotides in length.
Source: RNAcentral
GGGGCCAUAGCUCAGAUGGGAGAGCGCCUGCCUUGCACGCAGGAGGUCGGCGGUUCGAUCCCGCCUGGCUCCACCA